RNAcentral lists this small nuclear RNA (154 nucleotides) under Trichoderma virens Gv29-8. RNAcentral describes it as "U4 spliceosomal RNA". It matches the Rfam family "U4 spliceosomal RNA". From Rfam's summary of the family: U4 small nuclear RNA (U4 snRNA) is a component of the major U2-dependent spliceosome. The structure of U4 snRNA from yeast and human has been reported. Lineage: Eukaryota; Fungi; Ascomycota; Sordariomycetes; Hypocreales; Hypocreaceae. The record is from Rfam by way of RNAcentral.
AUCCAAGUGCACGGGCGUUUUCCUUCUCCGUGAAGCGAUAAGCUGAGAGAGGAAUUUUGCUAGUUGAAAACUAUACACUGACCACUCCUGGCUGGGCUCGCCUGGCCAGGGAAUAUUUGGAACCCUUCAACUCUCUGCUUGUUUGGUGGAAAGA